UCGAUGAGUAGGAGGGCGCGG
RNAcentral lists this non-coding RNA (21 nucleotides) under Arabidopsis thaliana (thale cress). Lineage: Eukaryota; Viridiplantae; Streptophyta; Magnoliopsida; Brassicales; Brassicaceae. The record is from RNAcentral.